GACGAACGCUGGCGGCGUGCUUAACACAUGCAAGUCGAACGAUGAAGCCGGAGCUUGCUCUGGUGAAUUAGUGGCGAACGGGUGAGUAACACGUGAGUAACCUGCCCUUGACUCUGGAAUAACUGCGGGAAACUGUAGCUAAUACCGGAUACGACCCUCGGAGGCAUCUCCUGGGGGUGGAAAGAAUUUCGGUCAAGGAUGGACUCGGGGCCUAUCAGCUAGUUGGUGAGGUAAAGGCUCACCAAGGCGACGACGGGUAGCCGGCCUGAGAGGGUGACCGGCCACACUGGGACUGAGACACGGCCCAGACUCCUACGGGAGGCAGCAGUGGGGAAUAUUGCACAAUGGGCGCAAGCCUGAUGCAGCAACGCCGCGUGAGGGACGACGGCCUUCGGGUUGUAAACCUCUUUUAGUAGGGAAGAAGCGAAAGUGACGGUACCUGCAGAAAAAGCACCGGCUAACUACGUGCCAGCAGCCGCAGUAA
Molecule: ribosomal RNA, 484 nt
Filed under: uncultured bacterium
Lineage: Bacteria
Description: partial 16S ribosomal RNA
Rfam family: Bacterial small subunit ribosomal RNA
Source: RNAcentral